RNAcentral lists this long non-coding RNA (712 nucleotides) under Oryza brachyantha (malo sina). Its description in RNAcentral is "long non-coding RNA (OBRA_LNC003375)". The record is from RNAcentral. Lineage: Eukaryota; Viridiplantae; Streptophyta; Magnoliopsida; Poales; Poaceae.
UUGCUUUUGAAAUUGAAAUUGUAAAUCUAAAGAUUCAAGACAAUCAAAAUAGAUGAUAAACUACAUAGUUAUACAAUUUUCAUAUCUAAAUGUAGACCAUCUAUUGUCUGCUCGAUAUAAUAAGUCCCAUCAGAAGACAUGCUGAAUAAUAGGAGUGCCAUGACCAAUUCACAAAGUCAAAGCACUAUAUAAAAAUGCAAUGUCCUUCCAACAUCAAUCAAUCAUUAGUCACUACUAACUUUUGAAUCAGAAUUUCGAAAUAAUGAUUGUUAGGAAAACAUAAUUCAAAAAACUACCUGGUAGAGCUUGGUCUGGUAAGAUACUAAUGAUAAGCUACUACAAUGGAGUGCAGCUUCCAGCAACCUCAAGAGUUCAAACAACCAAAAUAGAUGGUGAUGCUAGCAAUACCAACCAAGUCAACCAACAGCGCCCACCAAGAAAAAUACAAUGCCCAAUAGUUAUUUACUAGAAAGGAAUAAAAUACCCACUCCUUUGUAUUUUGAUGUGUAUGGUGCAGGAUCUCACAAUACAAACUUUUGUUGGUAGCUAAAAAAUGAACACUACAUGCAAAGACAGAUGAUCAAGUUAUACUGAAAAGGCUUCGUUAAUUGCAUAGAAAUCGACUAAUAGAAGACUCCAGGCCACAUAGAAAUAAACUAACAAAUUUAGAAAUCAACUAAGAAAUUUAGACACACAAUAACCUUCAAUAACC